CCCUUAGAUGUUCUGGGCCGCACGCGUGCUACACUGAGUGGAUCAGCGGGUCAGGUUACGCGAGAGCGUUUCCUAAUCUUCAAAUCCGCUCGUGAUGGGGAUUGACGGUUGCAAUUUUCCGUCAUGAACGAGGAAUACCUUGUAAGCGCGGGUCAUCAUCCCGCGCUGAAUACGUCCCUGCCCUUUGUACACACCGCCCGUCGCUCCUACCGAUUGAGUGGUCCGGUGGGGCUUUGGGAUCUAAGCGAAAAGAGCGUUUCGCUCCUUUUGCUGGGAGAACUCAGUCGAACCUUAUCAUUUAGAGGAAGGAGAAGUCGUAACA
This 322-nucleotide ribosomal RNA is filed under the name uncultured eukaryote. Its description in RNAcentral is "partial 18S ribosomal RNA". It matches the Rfam family "Eukaryotic small subunit ribosomal RNA", at positions 1470 to 1796 of the family's 1831-position model. The record is from RNAcentral.